CGUUCCCGGACCUUGCACACACCGCCCGUCAAGCCAUGGAAGCUGGGUGUACCUAAAGUCAGUAACCGCAAGGAGCUGCCUAGGGUAAAACUAGUAACUGGAGCU
Molecule: ribosomal RNA, 105 nt
Filed under: uncultured bacterium
Lineage: Bacteria
Description: partial 16S ribosomal RNA
Rfam family: Bacterial small subunit ribosomal RNA
Source: RNAcentral